This 523-nucleotide long non-coding RNA is filed under the name Mus pahari (shrew mouse). RNAcentral's name for it is "RIKEN cDNA 4930473D10 gene (MGP_PahariEiJ_G0003984.1)". The record is from RNAcentral. Lineage: Eukaryota; Metazoa; Chordata; Mammalia; Rodentia; Muridae.
AUUCUGGGGUGUGGCCAAGUACACAAAAUGCCUCUUCAGAAAACCAUCUUCAUGUUAAAAGGAUGCUACAACUUUCUUUCUCUAGAAUUCAGGGUCUACUGAAUGCUAACUACCACUAGAUGAGUCACCGCAAGGUGCAGUGCCUGAAUUGUGUUCCCAGAUUAAGGCUGACAUUUAAUUGCAUGCAGAACUACAAACAUGCAACUGUGAGACAGACUGAACACAAAAGAACCAAGCUGGUCUGAAGGAUGUUGCUGUGAGAAGUAAAUGGCAAACAUAAAUUAACUGCUCAUCACCUGACUUAGGCAUAAAUCACGACCUUACAUGCUACACACAUAUGAAUGAAUAUAUUUCUAAUGAUGUUUCUCAUUAGAACGCAAGAUCCCUAGAAGCAGCUAAAGUUUUUGCUAUUUUCUGCAGGAUGACCACAGUGUACAACAGUAUCUGAUAACCAGUCCAUAAUGUCUGUUGAAGGACUAGUUGAAUAAUCAAGUACUACAGAAUACAGAUGUGAGUCAAAUGA